UCCAAACUCUCCAUGACUGCACCUGCCCAUUUACCACCCCUGGCCCUUACCAUCAACUCUUCAUUAAUGAUCAUCUUGCUGAUGAUGGAGUGCACAGUGGGCAGGUCCAGCUCAAACAUGUCCGACAGUGUCUCCAUGCUGGGGAGAAAUAAGGCAGAGAGCAGGGAGCAGUCAGGAUCCUCGAGCACGAAGCUGCAGCCCCUGUGCUUCCUCAGGGCUCAUCCUACCUGAUGGAGUCAUAGACACUGCUGUAAGUGAAGAGGUCGGUGACAACCCUGUGGAUGGGAAGGACAGAGUGGUGUGGGAGACGCAGGGCCAGAAGCUGGUCUUGGUUCCUCUCCCACCGCUUGUGGGCAUGUGUGAUCUGGGGCCGAUUUCUCUCAGCCUCUCUGAGCUUCAGUUUCUUCAGGAUCACAGCUACAUCACUGGCACACUGUAAGACUGAACAAGAUCUGUGGUAGUAUGGGUUUGAAAAAAGCUAUAAAAAGCUGUUUAAGCAUUAAAUAUAUUAUGCCACCUUGUCAGGAACAUCAGGGGGUUUUAAUUACAUGCUUGAGGUCACACAGCUAAUAAGUAUAAAAGAAACAUACGAUACGAGAGCUUGAAGAGGCUUUCAGGGUGUUGUAGUCAGCUUCCCCCAUUUGCCAGAUGAGGAGAUUAAAAUACAGCAAGAGAACGUGAUUUUCCCAAGGCCUUUUCCUCCCAAUCUGACUCCCACCAAUGUUCAUUCUUUGACUCUUUCUCCUCUAGCGUUGGGAAGAAACUCAGCCCCAAGAUGUUACCUUCCUGUUACAAGUUAUGGAUGCCUCUCCUGGCAGCUCUGCCACAAGUCCUGGGCAUGGACUGACAUCCCCAGAAAACCAACAGGACAAGCUUUCCUAGCCCAGGUCUUGACACAUCUCAGCCUAAGAAACAAAUUCUGGAGCCUGAAAAUAAGUGGCAGCCCAAACCUUUGCUCCAAGAACCACAUGGUGUGUCUAGGUCAGGCAAAGAGAGAGAAAGGUUGUGGCCAGUAAAAAGCUAAGGGUUUGGCUAACAGAUUUCAAGCCCCCACUUGGAUUCAGGCCAGGCUCUGGGGCUAUAGGAAGUAUAGAAUGUGGUAGGAAGGGGCAUGCCAUCUAAUGGUGUGGCAGACCCACCCAUAACUCAUACAUGCAGCCUGAGUGAUAUUGCAAAAAACUUUUUUUCCCUGACUAUAAAAGUCACUCUUGCUUAUUGUAGGAAAUUUGGAAAAUACUAGAAAGUGUAAAGACAAUAAAAUGACCUAUAAGUUAAAGUAAACACAUGUCCUG
This 1292-nucleotide long non-coding RNA is filed under the name Equus caballus (horse). RNAcentral's name for it is "lncRNA (ENSECAG00000046983.1)". The record is from RNAcentral. Lineage: Eukaryota; Metazoa; Chordata; Mammalia; Perissodactyla; Equidae.